AGUGCUUCUGAACAAGCAACAGGAUGGAGAAACCCUGGAGAGAGGAGUCAGGAGUUCCACCUGCUCUGUCAACCACCGACUGGUAAUGACCUUGGGCAAGCCUGCACCUCACUUCAUUUGUCCCUAAAGGAGAAAUAAAAAUACGCAUCUACGUUCUUCUCGGGUCUCUGCUCGGUUGCUGAAGGUAAAGGUCCUGAGAAAAACCAGCAUCGACCGCAGCUGUCCUCAGGGAUACGUGUACACUCGAGAUAAGUGGUAAAUAACACCGAGCAAAGAAGAGAGCCAGGGAGGAGGCUGACAGCAGGGGUGAUGGCUCGUGCUUCCUGCAGGGAGAGAAGCCACAUAUCCCAGGAGGCCGGAGCCCAGCUCUCCGGUGGCUCCUUCCACCCAUUUUGGGUGGGAUUUCGUAAGAACCCGGCCCCUGUUUCUUACAUCUCUGUCCCUAGCUCCUGAGCACUGAGUGAAUGGACAGGCUCUGACUGCACAGCCCUUCCGAGACGGUGCUGCCGGGCUCUGGGGGUGUGGGGGUGUGGGGCUCCUGCGAAGGUCCUGGUGCAGCCGUCAGGAUCUU
This is a long non-coding RNA of Acinonyx jubatus (cheetah), 571 nucleotides long. RefSeq lists it as uncharacterized. NCBI's taxonomy places the organism in Eukaryota, Metazoa, Chordata, Mammalia, Carnivora, Felidae. The transcript is spliced from 4 exons. The record is from RefSeq and is a predicted model, not a curated record.